CCGUGCUAGAUGGGGAGUCAGCGGUGCCCUGUAACCUGCAAUCCGCUAUAGCAGGAUUGAAUUCCUCACCUAGGCUUUAGUCUAUAUGGUCUGCCCCUAUGCAAGUGAUGUUGAGGGUGGGGUCCCACGCGACUUAAGACUAUGAACCUCGUCAGGUCCGGAAGGAAGCAGCGAUAAGUAGCCCCUGAGUGUGACGUGGAUAAAUCUAGCCUGAGUUAACUACAUAGGUAACGCAUAUAGAUUACUGCCGAAGUGAGGUGCACGG
This is a non-coding RNA of Clostridium disporicum, 265 nucleotides long. It matches the Rfam family "Bacterial large signal recognition particle RNA". From Rfam's summary of the family: The signal recognition particle (SRP) is a universally conserved ribonucleoprotein involved in the co-translational targeting of proteins to membranes. Archaeal SRP consists of a 7S RNA and homologues of the eukaryotic SRP19 and SRP54 proteins. The record is from Rfam. NCBI's taxonomy places the organism in Bacteria, Bacillati, Bacillota, Clostridia, Eubacteriales, Clostridiaceae.